Polyodon spathula (Mississippi paddlefish) is the source of this 2655-nucleotide long non-coding RNA. RefSeq lists it as uncharacterized. The transcript has 2 exons. The record is from RefSeq and is a predicted model, not a curated record. Lineage: Eukaryota; Metazoa; Chordata; Actinopteri; Acipenseriformes; Polyodontidae.
UAAUAAAUAAUAAUAAUAAUAAUAAUAAUAAUAAUAAGUUCCUGCAGCACUGAAAACAGACACCCAGACUCUACCCCUUCUUCCCUAGAGCCUGCCUAUCAUUUUGAUAAAACUGCCACAGACCUUUCAAAAUAGCUGUCUUUGAAAUUUUGAAAAAAAAUCUAUAAGCAAAGGCUUGUAAUUGUUGGUGCCCAGGUACAGUUAGAGUACUUUGAUUAGAUAGUCAUCGACACUAAAUAAUUUCAAUAAAAACUUUGUCUUACUUUUAAAUAAUACAUGAAACCACAAAAUGAGAUCUUUUUACUACAUUGGUCUCUGUUAUAAGUGAUGCCGUUUUAUAUUACACGCUCAUUCGUGGAUUCUACUGUUGAGUGUCGCUGAUGUCAAAACGAAUCACAUCCUUGGUCAACGGAAUGGACUUUUUAAAGGUUUGUUGAAAAAAAACAUCUUCUUGGCUUAUACAGUAUAAGCAAGAGUCCGCCUGUUUUUCCUGGUACACAUAAAACAAGAACCAAAAUAUUUGCAGAACAAUAAAACAGGGACCAGAAAUAACAGCAAGAAGGUUCACACAGUGGAUUUUAGCUCUGCGUAGCACAGGAGUAAGCACGUUAUGGAUCUUUUGCAAUGGCAGAUCAUCAUACCCAAAUGCAUGACUGAAGCAGUACUGUAGAUAAUCUGUUAAGUUUACAUGUAGCCAUCCCAUUCAUUAAAACAGUGCCGACAAAGAGUAGGCUUGUGGAGCUCGGAGGCAGGAUUUUGUUGUCCAUUUUUCUCCACUCAGAUGCCUUUGUUUCUUGGCAUCCCUAGAUAACCAUCUUGAAAAAGAUUGUCAUAAGUGUAGCGACCUCGUGAUGGUAUGUGUCACAGUGUCACAGGACUAUUUUAAUUGUGUAAUAAUAUGUUGAAAUCAGGUUGUAUUAUUUAUUCCUUUUACGGUAACAUUCCAUUUGUAUUGGAACACAAUAAACAUUUUUGGAACACAUUCAUUUUACUGUUUUCUCUGGCUAUGCAACAUUUGUCAAGUGUUAGUGCUUUUAAUAAGAGCUGCCUCUUCUUUUUUUCAGAAUCCUUACUGACAAAUGACAUUCACCAUACUGGAGAGAGGGUGUUAAACCUUUGAGUUGUGGAACUAGUGGCUUUGCAUUUGCAGCUGUGGAGGACGUUUCAUGUCACUCAUAUACUUAUUACAGAAUUCCUUCUGCAGUCUACCCUGUAUCCUACAAACAGAGGAUGAGUGUACCUAAGAGAGAAGCUCCCAGUCCUCCUAUGAGAUACUGAGACCCACCAAAGUAACUGGAAUGUGAAGGGCAAUGCAUGGAGAGAACAGUGCUGUAAAUGAAUGUAAUUAAUGCCCUUGCAGUUCGGAUUCACAAGCCACAGUGUUUAAAGUGUUUAUUGGUAGGUUUUGAUAACCCUUGUUUAUUUUGAGCUAGUCUUUCUGAUCCUUGUGAGGUUUUACUGUAUCAACAAAAUACCAUCCUAAACAUGGGUGGAUCUAGGUGUUGUUUUAUUAACAUCCUGCAUUUGUUCUUCUGCAGGAAAUUACUACUCAAGAAAUUUGAUGAACUGAAACCCCAAAAAAGGAAACAGUGCCACAACCACAAUCCUAAAGAUAUUAACUGUGCUGGAAAAGAUAAACAAAAAUACAAUUUAGCCUUGGGGUUAGGCUUCAGGGGUCAGGCCUGCACUUCUGUUUGUCCAUUUAAGGAAUUACUUUAUAGAAAAAAAUAUCUUAAAACAGGGUCGGUUUACAUCGUUUUGGUCUCUUCAGUGUUAUUUUUCCCAGUUGCCAUAGUGAUGGAACAUUUUGGUUUUUUUCAACUGAAACUUGCUCCAUUUUAUACACAACAGAAAUCAAAAGCUGUAAUGUAUCGUGACAUAUCCUAAGACAGCAAAUAAUAAUAAUAAUAAUAAUAAUAAUUCAGAAGCAAGUUGACCUGUGAAAGUUUUGAAAACCCCUGCUACUUAUCCAAGUUGCCAUAGCAAUUUAUUUUGUACUUCCUCUUUCUGGUAAGACACCAUCUCCAUAUUUACUAGAAGCCUUCCUUUAGCUUGACUUGUAAAUGAAGCAAUUUACUGUCCAGUCUGGUUGUGUUUGUUGGAUUCGGGUGUAAUUGACUGUUUAUUCACCGUGUGGAGGGGUUGCGGCUGGCAGAGUUUAAAUGGAAUGAGGAAGGCUGGUCAGUCCCAUCCCUUAGGAUUCUCCAGACAAGCUUGAAGCCAGGUAUAGGCAAAUUUGUAGAAAAAUUAAAAGAACUCAAAAUUAGAGGAAAAAAAAACAACAGAUUGAUUACAAGCACUGUAGAAAAAGGGCAAAAAUUACAUUUAAAGUUGUUUACCAUUUAAGAAGAUCGUUACCUUAAGCCAAUAUUGACAACAUCAGCAGUAUUAAACCACCAAGGAAUUAUAUUUUUGUGCAAACACUAAUUUUUAUUAUUUAUAUAUUAAAAAAAAAAUUUAAAAGACCUUACACUCAAUUCAUUUUCAUUUUUUUACAUUUUUACAUUUCAUUUUUAUAUUUUUGCACCAAACAUUUUGAGAAAUGACACGUUAAAAGAGAAAAAAAAAAAAAAAAAACAAACAAAAAACACUGCUAAAGAUUCAAUGCAGGCUUCACUGAGUUACAAAUUGAAGUCAUUUUUUUUUUUUUUUUUU